This is a non-coding RNA of Musa acuminata subsp. malaccensis (wild Malaysian banana), 579 nucleotides long. NCBI's taxonomy places the organism in Eukaryota, Viridiplantae, Streptophyta, Magnoliopsida, Zingiberales, Musaceae. The record is from RefSeq and is a predicted model, not a curated record.
GGGCGAUUUUGUAUUUGGAGGGCAACCUGGCGACUAAAGUUUUCAGUGACCCAAUUACUGGACUUGUUAGGCGCAUAAGGGAAGUUGCUAUCCGUGCAGAUGGUCGUCUUGUUUUUCUUGGCGACGUAAGCAAGGCUGCUGAAACCGAGCAAGGAGGGCUCAGAAGCGCUGGCUAUUAUUGAGAACAAUCAUCCAGUUUUCCAAGGUCGCCGCUACAGAUGAAAUAAAGCACAGCACGGCUUCAUUUCUUUAACCCAUAUCACCACCGUGAUUUCUUACAGAUUCCGUCGUCAGCUUCCAUGGACGUACACGGAUGCUUCCAACAGAUGAUUGGGAAUUGGGUGUCUCACUAUGUCGCUAGAACUAGUCAUAGGUGCUGUAUGUUGUCCUUCAGUAAAAUUUCCUUCUCGAAGAGUCUGCCCUAUUGCUUACUGCUGUAAUUUGGGCAAUGGCUUGUUCAAAAUUUGACCAAAAAUGUUCAUUUCGUUUCCACUAUCAGUUCUUUUACUAUGUAAGCUUCAAUUAUAUGUUUGCAUCAUUUGAUACAUAUUACUAUGUAAGAUUUAAUUGUUUGGAAUA